UACGUAGGGGGCGAGCGUUGUCCGAAGUUACUGGGCGUAAAGCGCGUGUAGGCGGUCCGGUAAGUCCGCUGUGAAAGUCGGGGGCUCAACCCUCGGAUGCCGGUGGAUACUGUCGGGCUUGAGUACGGAAGAGGCGAGUGGAAUUCCUGGUGUAGCGGUGAAAUGCGCAGAUAUCAGGAGGAACACCAAUUGCGAAGGCAGCUCGCUGGGACGUUACUGACGCUGAGACGCGAAAGCGUGGGGAGCAAACAGG
This 253-nucleotide ribosomal RNA is filed under the name uncultured bacterium. RNAcentral describes it as "partial 16S ribosomal RNA". It matches the Rfam family "Bacterial small subunit ribosomal RNA", at positions 524 to 776 of the family's 1533-position model. The record is from RNAcentral.